GCAUAUCAAUAAGCGGAGGAAAAGAAACCAACAGGGAUUGCCUCAGUAACGGCGAGUGAAGCGGCAACAGCCCAGAUUUGAAAUCUGGCCUUCGGGCCCGAGUUGUAAUCUGCAGAUGAGUCUUCCGGUAAAGCGCCGUCCAAGUGCCCUGGAACGGGCCGCCGGAGAGGGUGAGAGCCCCGUACCGACGCGCGCCUAGCCUCUGUGAAGCUCAUUCGAAGAGUCGAGUAGUUUGGAAAUGCUGCUCUAAUUGUGGGGUAAAUCUCCCAUAAGGCUAAAUACCGGCCAGAGACCGAUAGCGCACAAGUAGCGUGAGCGAAAGAUGAAAAGAGCCUUGAACAAGGGCGUCAAAAAGCAUGUGAAAUUGUUGUGGGGGAAGCGUUCGAUGCCAGACAUGGCGGCGGUUGGUUACCCGGCGUUCUUCGCCGGCGCACUCUGCCGUCGCCAGGCCAGCAUCAGUUCGGCUCGAGGCCCACCGCCGGCGGGAAUGUGGCUCUCUUCGGGGAGUGUUAUAGCCCGUCGGUACCGUCUCGGACCGGACUGAGGACCGCGCUUCGGCUCGGAUGCUGGCGUAAUGGCCUCUAGCGACCCGUCUUGAAACACGGACCAAGGAGUUGACCUAGCCUGCGAGUGUUUGGGUGUCAAGCCCUUACGCGCAGUGAAAGCGAAUGCAGGUGGGAGCUUCGGCGCACCAUCGACCGAUCCUGAAGUUUACGGAUGGAUUUGAGUAAGAGCAUGCUGGGUCUGACCCGAAAGAAGGUGAACUAUGCAUGAAUAGGGUGAAGCCAGAGGAAACUCUGGUGGAGGCUCGCAGCGGUUCUGACGUGCAAAUCGAUCGUCAAAUUUGUGCAUGGGGGCGAAAGACCAAUCGAACCUUCUAGUAGCUGGUUCCUGCC
RNAcentral lists this ribosomal RNA (896 nucleotides) under Phaeoisaria guttulata. RNAcentral's name for it is "LSU rRNA". It matches the Rfam family "Eukaryotic large subunit ribosomal RNA", at positions 38 to 962 of the family's 3401-position model. Lineage: Eukaryota; Fungi; Ascomycota; Sordariomycetes; Pleurotheciales; Pleurotheciaceae. The record is from RNAcentral.